GUCUGCGUGAAGGUAUAUGUAGUUUGGCCUGCUCAACUGAUUGUAUAAUUAAAGAGCCGCAGUAUAUUGACUGUGCGAAGGUAGCAUAAUAGGUUGUCUUUUAAAUGGAGGCUUGAAUGAAAGGUUGGACAAAAUAUCAUCUGUUUCUCUAGUAGAUCUUGAAUUUGACUUUCAAGUGAAAAGGCUUGAAUGGAUUAAAGGGACGAUAAGACCCUAUAAAUCUUUACAAAAAGAGUUUUUUAAGUUUUAUUUUGUAUGUAGAUGAAACAUAAAACGCUUUUUUGUUUCGCUGGGGCGGCGUAGAUAUAAAAUUUAACUGUUUAUUAGGUAAGGACAAUGAUUUUUGGUUAAUUAAAAUGAUCCUUUAGUUGGAUUAAAAGAUUAAGAUACUUUAGGGAUAACAGCGUUAUUUUUUUUGAGAGUUCCUAUCGAAGAAAAAGUUUGCGACCUCGAUGUUGAAUUAAGGUUUCUUUGUGGUGUAGCAGCUAUAAAAGAGAGUCUGUUCGACUUUUAAUACUUUACAUGAUUUGAGUUCAGACCGGCGUAAG
This 548-nucleotide ribosomal RNA is filed under the name Pagurixus eminens. RNAcentral describes it as "partial 16S ribosomal RNA". It matches the Rfam family "Bacterial large subunit ribosomal RNA", at positions 1831 to 2625 of the family's 2925-position model. Lineage: Eukaryota; Metazoa; Arthropoda; Malacostraca; Decapoda; Paguridae. The record is from RNAcentral.